This 9440-nucleotide long non-coding RNA is filed under the name Capsicum annuum. Its description in RNAcentral is "long non-coding RNA (CANN_LNC003950)". The record is from RNAcentral. Lineage: Eukaryota; Viridiplantae; Streptophyta; Magnoliopsida; Solanales; Solanaceae.
CCCCUUAUUUUGCUCGUUCAAGCUUUGACUUGACACGACAUUGGAAAAUUUUAAGUUACUGUUACUGUAAUGGACAAACAAACCAAGUUAGAUGAUAACAAGAUAAUAAUAAAAUAUAUGACUAGGAGUGUUUUAGAAAUAAUAGAAUUUUCUAAAUAAAUGAAGGCCUUUUCAUUGAAAUUUGGGAGAUAAUUAUAAAAUUGUGGCUCAUGACUUGCGCAAAUACAAGUCCAUGCCUUUUUGAAAGCAGUAAGAUACGAAAAGAAAGUUUUGAGAUAUAAAAAGUGGAUCGCGGGGCCUCCUCCGGAUCAUCACCGAUUUUAAAAACUAUCAGUAAUUUCUCUUUCAUCUAUUACGAUGGGCGACGGGUUAUGAGUGGAGCGGAGGUCCAAUUUUGCAAGGCCUCUCCUGGCAUAAUCUUCUCCAUCCCACUGGACUUUGGGAGAUCUUUUGGUAUAGCAUUGCAUCCUUCGAACAAAUCUCCUAUCCCAUUCCUAAGACCAUCAUCAUCUAACACCUCUCGUACUGGAAAUGACUGGAACAGGAGUGGCAAGGGCCCAAAUAGACUCCUCUCGGGCUCAUCCUCAACCCUAUCCUUUCUGGUAGGCUGAUAUCCUAACCCGUACUUAGAGCCUCUCUCUGGAAUCGCAAUAGGCUCAAUAAUUCCUUGUAAAUUCUUUCCCAAUCCUCGACUAGGUUCAAACCCAUUUUUUAACAUCACCAUUGCAAUCAUUUUGUAUACAGAAGGCAUUGAUACUUUGGGCGUCGAAUCUCUGUCCGCAGCAUUUACAAUUUCCACUGUAUAGAAACUGCUACCUUUUGGAACAUCUUCAAUCACCGGCACAUAACCAUUAGGACGGUCCACUCGACUUCCUUCUCCUUGGAUGACUCCUUCAUGAUCUUCCCAAAUGAACUUCAAUAAUUGACGAAGGGGUGAUGAAACUGCCUUUGCACCAUGUAUCUAUGGUCUUCCCAAGAGCAGGUUGUAGCUAGGAUGGAUAUGCAUAACAUGAAACUUAGUCUUGAACUCAGCAAGCCGCAUUUUAGAUGUGCAAAUCAAUCUCUCCUAUGGUAUCUCUCUGACCACCAUUGAAUGCUCUCAUAUUUACAUGGCUUUGACGAAUUUUUCCUAAAUCAUAGCCCAUUUGAACCAACGUAGAGAGGGGAUAAAUAUUCACACCAGAUCCCCAUCUAUUAAUACCUGAUUAAUCUCAUAAUCGUGGCAAAUAAUGGUGACAUGCAUGGCUUUGUUGUGCGUCGCUCCUUCAAAUGACAAUUCUUCAUCACUGAAUGAUAUGCGAUGAUUCCCCACAAUGUUCCCUAUCAUCGCAGCCAGAUUCUCAACACUCAUUUCUGCAGGAAGAUAUGCUUCCUUCAAGACCUUCGAUAAAGCUUGUCGGUGGUAUUGCGAACUCAUUAAUAGCGCCAAGACAGAUAUUUGGGCUGGCAUUUUCUCCAAGAGUUUGACAAUUGAGUAAUCCUUUCGUUGCAUACGCCUCUAAAAUUCCUCAGCCUCUCCUUCAGUGAUUGGCAUUUUUUGUGAAUCUUUUUUGUUGGUCAAUUCCUCAGGGAUGUAAUAUCAUCCCAAUCGCAUCAUACCUUGGGCAGCAGUGGUUUGCACAAUAAAUUUCUUUCUUGGUGGGGGAGUAUACACUUGAGUCGGUGCAGUCAUCACUAUAAAUAGGGAUUUCUCGUUGAUACUCAAGGCAUCUACAGCCUUCGCUAUCUUUCCUACCUCUUCUGCUCAUUUGUGCUUUCCGUAGGUCACCUGGGUAAUGGUCUUGCCAGAUGCCCAUUCGCCCUCUAUUUCAAUCAUGUUAACUGUAGAUCCUCCAUGGUUGGGCAAUGGAUUACUUUUAACAUUUGGUGUAGGUUCCUGGAGCGUGAUGACCUUCUGAUCGAUUAAAUCCUGGAUCCUAUGUUUUAGGUAGCCACAAUCCUCUGUACUGUGCCCCGCUGCUCCUGAAUGAUAGGCACAAUGUUGACUUGAAUUAAAAAAUCGAAAGUUGGUAUUGACAUGCCUUGGCUGUAUUGGUUGUAAAUGACCAAUAUUCUUCAAUCUGUCAAACAAUUAGGUGCGACUUUUAGCUAGCGAGGUGAAGUUUCGAGGAGGUUUCUUUUCGUGGUUUGGCCGUUGGGGGUUGUACUGGCUUUGAUUUGUAGGAGGAGGUACUUGAUGAUAAUUUAGAGGCGCUUGGAAAUUUGUUCAGUUAUUUGGAGGAAUGGAUUGGAAAUAAGACUGAUAAUUUGGAGGUGGAGCUGGGUAUUGGGGAAAGAUAUUAGGUUGUGGAGCUUGGUAUGAGGAUUGGAUGUUUGGGAAUGGAGUUUGGUACUGAGGUGAGGUAUUUGGCUGUGGAGCUUGGUAUUGAGGGUGGGCAUAGAAUAUAUGUUGAAGGCUUGGUGACGGCGGAGAAGAGAAAACAUUCCUAGAGUUGAACCUCUUUUUCAUUUUUGCAACAGGAUUAGCAAAAAUCACACCUACAUCUUCCUUUUUCUUCUUCGAGAAUAUGCAAGUCCCAGACGACGUCGGGAUUUUGGCAAUUUUCCCUAUCCGAAUACCUUCUUGCAAUGAUUCUCCUAUUUUUACCAAAUCCGCAAAAGUUGCCCUGACAGCGGACACCAUCCUAGUAUAAUAUUCUCCUUCUUGAGCGCCAGAGAACACGAAUACCAUUUCCUCCUCAAACAUGGGGGUUGCACUUUGGCGGCUUCUUUCCUCCAACGAAAAGCAUAGUCUCGAAAACUCUCAACAUUUCUUUGUUUGAUCCGAUCUAGUGAAUAUCGAUCAGGGACUAUUUCAAUGUUGAAUACAACCGGUCAAGCAAACCCUUGGCCAAUGCUUUCCAACCAGUCCACUUUUUUGGCUCCUGAGACAUGAACCACUCCAAGGCUUCGCCACUCAAACUUCGACUGAAUAGGCACAUCAAUAUUGCCUCAUUUUUCCCUAUUCCUGCCAGUUACUCACAGUACCUUCUCAAAUGGGCCACUUGAUUUUUGGUACCAUCAAACAUUUCAAACUUAGGAACUUUGUACCCAUCUGGUAGGUCUACUCCAGGGUGAACACAUAAAUCAUUAUACCCGAAACCGUCGUGGUCUCUGGCUCCAUGAAACUAUUUGAUCCUUAUGAUCUCUUUCUUUAUAGCUAGUAAAUUUGUUUCAUGCCGGGUCCUCCACUCUUUUUCCUUCUCCUUGUAAUGGUCCAUCUCGGGGUUAGGAAGGUGUUCAUAAAUAUCAGAAGAUAUGAUGGCUUGAGGGGGAUUUGGAAGGGAGGCUUGAUUUUGUGGAAGAAAGGAACUUGGCUGGUAAGUGGGGAGGAUGUUUUGGAAAUUGGAAAGGUUCUGUGGACUUUGCGAGUAGUUUGGUGAAAUAUGAGAAGGAUUUUGCGGAUUUGGAACUGAAUUUAAUGGAUUUGGGAAUAGAUUCGAUGUAUUUUGUGGAUUUGGGAGUGAAUCUUGCGGAUUUGGGAAUACAUUUUGUUGAUUUGAGAAUGUGUUUUGAGGAUUUGGAAAUGGAUUUGAAGACGGGUUCUGUGGGGUUACAGAUGGAUUUUGUGGAUGAUAGGCGUCUGGGUUAUUUUCACGAUUAGUAUUUUGGACAAAUGGAGGGGCGGAGAUAGAUGAUACGUUAUUUGGCUGAUCCCCGAGAAUAGGUGUGUUGAGGGGAGAAAUUUAGAGUGGAGUCCUGUGUCCUCCUGGAGCGGGGGCAUUAACAGUGAUGGCCAAGUUAGCCAAAUUUCGAGUGUGAUUUAUUUCUGCCUGAAGCAUUUCUAACUGUCUUGCAAGUUCUGCAAUCAUUUCAUUCUAUUCCGCUAUCAUAUUUUCCCGGAUAAUCAGUGCGCUUUCUUCGUCAUUUUCUGUCAUUUUUGAAUGAUGGUCAAAGGAUAGGAUUUUGUGUGCUUUUGAUAGAGUGAAGUAGCGAUGUUCUGCCAGCUUAUAUCAACAUGGAGUAGUUUCUAUUAUCUUUAAAGUAAAACAACUCAAAGGCAGAUGUGUUAGUUUUCGUAUAUGAUAAGUAGUGCAAAAUAUUUGGUCGGAAAUAACCACAUAGAGUUGUUUGAGUCAUAGCCAAAUUCAUCCGUAGGACAUAGUGGAUAAACUUGCCUUUGAUCCAAACAAGCACACAUAAGCACAUAAAACAGUUAUAUCACACAAUAACAUUAUAAUAACGUGUAUCCUAGCUGGGGUGACCCUUUUUGAGUUCAGGCCUAAUGACUUUUGAAGAAAAUAUAUGCGUCCUCGAAGUCAAUCCAUUAACCCCCAACUUAUAUAGGCACGAAAAAGGGCAUAAAUUCCUACAAAAGAUAACUAAAAAGGGAUACAAUCUUUAGGGGAAAAGGGAAAUAACAUGAAAGAAGAUAAGUUCCCGCGCAGGGGAAAUAGAAAAACUACCUACUAGAGGCUCCUUCGUCUGCCUUUUCCCUCUUUGCCUUGUUUACCUUCUAUACUAUUUGAUACCUAUUAAUGAUAAGAUGACUCCCGCAUAAUUGUUCCUUGCAUUCAUAAGUCAUUUUCCCUAUACUAUUGAGUUGGGAGGUCAUGCUAUCAUCCAAAUUGAUUAGACGUUGCUUGGCAUCAUCAGCUUCUUGCCUAGCUCUUUUCAACUCUUCCCUCGACAUACGUAUGGUUAAAGCGUCCUCCAUGUGUAUCUGCCGGUGCGUGAUUUCACUUUUCUGGAACUCAUCUUGUAGCCUGUGGAGCCGAAUUUGAUGCUUGAAUUCUACAUCCACAACUCGAGUGGGCACAUUUGGUCCCAAAAUCAACGCUUUGGUGAGACUCUUUUUCAACCAUUCCUUGUAAGUGUCGCUGACUUCAGGGUCAUGCUCUAUACAGAAAGUCACUUCCGUCCACCUUCUUCUUCUCUAUCCAUUUACCAUGCUGUCAUUGAGCGGAGACUCACUUUCAUCGUAUUUGGUGAAAAACCUAAGCAUGGAAUCUAUUUAUGGUGCCUCUUGCUUGAUCCCGAAUUGCCUAAGAACUUUGCCAGGAUUGUAGGAACGGGUCCCCCUGAGACCGAGAAGCAUUAGAAAAGGCCAUUUUCCCCCUUGAAUGGUGUAUUUCCCUGAACAAAGAGAGUUAAUGGACCAUUGCACAUCGUCAUCUCUCAAUUCCCCGAAAGUCUUAGACCAAAAUUCGUGAGAUGUUUUCCUUUUGAACUUGUGUAGAAACAACUACAUGUCGUGCGAAGCCAGCAUAUCCACCCUUGUUUUAUGAUCAGGUUGUACCAUUUUUGAAUCCUUUACCAAAUGCUUCAUCAUCCACCAUUGUAAUAUGAGGUUGCAACCUUGAAAGAAAUAAUUUUUGACUUGACACCUUCCCAAGGCUCGAUAUAUGUCGGCGACAAUCAUGGGAGCUAAAUUGUGGAAUACCUUGGUGGAAUCGUAAUCUACUCCGAAGAAAAGUGCAUGAGCCACCGUAACAACCCUUGGAUGAAUUAUACCAUUCUCCCCCUGUGGGAACACCAUGGUUACAAGUAGACCUACCGUAAAUGCAAAGGCUCUCAUCUCCUUCCAUUUUGCUUUGGACUCAAAUUUAUGUCCAAAUUUGUGGAAGACAUUGAAUCUUCCAAACCGAUGAUACAACUCUUGAAAAGUGAUAUUUGCUCCAUCACGUUCCCCUAUCCAGGUGUUGUCGUCAGUAAAAAUGCCUCUUUAAUUGUUUGACGGUCCCAUACGGCAGGAACUAAAAUGUUCUUAUCAGGUUUUUCCUUUCUUUUGAAACACAUUUCAAUACUCUCAUAGCAAAUUAACAUUUCUUCGAUGGUAGGAGUCAAUUCCACAUCCCUGAAGCGAAACACCACAUUCUGAUCAUCCCAAAAAGUGGUAAGCACGUGGAUUAUUUCGGGCCAAGUAUUCAUUUUGAUUAAUGAAGGAAGGUAUCCGAUAUGUAUUCUAAUAAUUUUUCUCUCUGCUGCACUCAUAUAGUCCCACCAUAGUUUCAGGUAAUCGUCGGGUUUAGUAACCAUAUUGAACUUCUCGUGAGAAUGUAAUUAAGCCAUACCCUACACGAAAGUAAACAAAGAUAAGCCUUCCCCCGUCCCCCAAAAGGUAAUGGAUUGAAUUAGACUAGCACAUAUUUUUUCAACACAUAAAUAUAAUUUGUCUGUAAUUGACUCGAGAUCAAUAAACACAGGGCAGGUUUUCUAAUGGGUCCAAUACCCCGCUCGGGUAUUGGGUCGUCCUAGGCUCAUGCCUAAAAUAGGGUUUUGGUUUCGCUCUAUCCUAGGUAGCUAGAGUGGGUUUGAACACUGGUUCUCAAGCGGACAACUUGAGUUUGAAAAUACAAACAGCCAUCAGACGACUCACGGGCUAAUAAACUGUUUAUAUUUCCAACAAAUUAUUGGAAUUGAUCAAUAGGGGUCGGGAUACCCACGAAACCCCAAAACAGUUUAUAUAAUGCAGGAAUAUGCCGCGAGUGCGAUAGUUAAACCAUAUAGAAUCGGAAUAUAUAAACACAUAAACAGUUAAUCAAAAGAUGAAAUCAAAUAUUUGGUUAGAACCUAGUUCGAAAAAUUCCCAGCAGAGUCGCCAUUUCUAUUUUGACGAAAAUUUUUGACUUUUAGAGAGUCGCCACUUAAUUUUGAAUAGGAAUUAAGAAACCUUUGUAAAAUACUUAGGCGAUUUAGAACAGGAAAAUCAUUUAAGUUAGAGAUUCUAGAUAAGUGGUUCCUAUUAACGCACUUAAUUUUGAAAAGGAAUUAAGAAACCUUUGUAAAAUACUUAGGCGAUUUAGAACAGGAAAAUCAUUUAAGUUAGAGAUUCUAGAUAAGUGGUUCCUAUUAACGUUUUAGGAAGGUGUUAGGCACCUAAAACGUCCGCUAACUGGAGGUUAUCCAAUCUGUUUGAAAACAUUCUUUUGACUAACUUCAAAAGAAGAUUGAUUUUUGAAAAGAAACUCGAUUUUAGCGAUGUUUUGACGUUUAUGCAAAACUAGUUUUUAGCGACUUGACUAAGGGAUUAACUAGGUUCACAAGAAACAUGUAAACAAGACGGAAAAGGGAAAGNNNNNNNNNNGAAAGAGGAAAGGGGAGAAGUAGUGAUUUAGGCUUUUAAGCCCAAACCGUCGUCCCUGUCCUAAUCUAGUUUUUGAGCUUUUAGCUCGAAUCUUGCUCCACCUAUAUUAAGUACAACUUUGGUUUCGAGGCCCGAAUAAAUGAAUAAGCAAAUAAAUAAAUAAGUAAAGACGACUAUAAGUAAAUAAAUAAAAUAACAAUUGAGAUUUUGAAUCUUGUAGCUGCUUCAAAUGUGGGACUCUAACCCAUUCUUCUCCUUUUGAUUCCUUGAGUUAGUAUUGUGCCAUAAGAUCGAUGUAAUCGAUUUUAGGUCCUCUAAAGGAUGGGCCUCCAUGGCCCAUUGCGUAAUGCAAGGAAAAAGAGCCCAAUUGGACUCCCAAAGUAGUUCAUUCAAAAAGAAAAGAAAAAGAAUCAGUAUCUAUCCAAAGGUGUCACGUGACAUAAUGCGGAAGCAAAUGGCCCAAAGUUUCUAGAAUUAAAGCAAACAUUCCAACUACAGAAAAUCUAGCAACAAGUGAGAGCAAUAUCAGUGGAGAAGAGAGCUAUUGGUGAAGACAAGACUAUAAUGACAAAGAUAUACCAAAAAUGAUAGAAUUAGAUUCGGAAAAAAUUUCACUUUAUCAAACUUAUUAGCUUGUAACUGUGGUUCAACUAAAUUUUGACCUCUUUUUAAUUGAGAAGGGGAAGAUAGGGAGAAGGAAACCAAGCAGAUUAUUCGAUCAUAUAAUGAAUUAAAGGGUCUAAUAUAAUCCAUUAAUGAUCUUGAAUCACCACAAAGCAACACCAAACUAGAACAUGGGAUUUGAUUUUCCACUGAGACUUGAAACGUUAGGAUAUGGGUGAAAAUAAUUUUUUUUUUAAUCGGUAAAUUUAAGAAAAUUUCAGUCCAAAUUUUGAAUAGGAGAAAAAGUGUGUUGAGGCCGAAGAAACCUUUAACCGUGAUAAGAAAAUUCUGUUCACUUGACGUAAUGUUAAAGAAAGGAACACAAGGUUAAAGGAAGGAAACUUUCAGCUACAGGGGUGUCACUAUGGAUUUUUUUUCCAGCAACUAAGCAACACAAACAUAACUUAUUCGUAGAAGAACAGUACAACUAGCAUUGUGACACUAGGAUACAAAGCAAUUAGUCAAAUAAUAGUAAAUUGGACCCUAAUAUUGAAAUAUGAAAUAAUAUUUUGAUGACCUAUUCAAAAUCCAUACUGCAGUAAGUUUGAAGACUAACUAAACACCCAUUAUGAGACGAAAGCACUGAUUUAAUAGUUAAGCAAAUGAAACGAUAAGUCGGAAGAAAAUUAUCCGUAUAAUUUUCACCAAGGCAAAGUUAAUACCAAAACGAUGAUUGAGAUCCACCGAUAGAAAGUGUCGACAUAAAUAGCGACCUAAACAACAUAUUCAGGAAGAUGCUUAAGACAUUAACGACUAAAAAAUAACAUCACCACGAGACAAUAAGCUUACACCCAUCGAACUGACACAUAGGAGAUUGACGAUUAAUCGGAAGGUUAUAAUACAAAUAGCGAUGCAACAAACAAACGCAGCGAUAAUCAUUACAAGUAAAUCUUAUAGCCAUCGAAGCCAUCUGCAACAGGCGUCUCUAGGCAUUCUAUGACUGAUAACGGUGCUAACGAACAAUGAAAAAGAAUAUCGAAAUUAAUAGGAUGAGGAGUUUACCUUUUUCGGAAUAGAAAACAGGGCUCGAACCUAUAAUAAAAGUUCGACCACCACUAUUGGAAGGUUCCCAAAGAGAGGUUUCUUCAUUCGCACCUAGACAACUUAGAAAGGAUUCUUUCAGAACACCAAAUUUCACUCCCCAAUUUUUGAGACUCUGAUUUUUCCCUCUUCUGAUUUUCCCAACCCUAGGUUCCCAGUGAAGAAUCCAAAAGAAAAAAAAAAUCCUCCUGUUAGCAGUGACCAAGGGGUCUAUUUAUAGAAAACCAAUUAGGAGGGGUCUGUUUGGGAAUUUUUCUGGAAAAGAUCUUUUGAAAUUCCAUUCCCAAAUCCCUCCUACAACCCAUUUUCGCGCCCCAGAAUCAUACCAUCUUUUAGAUUUUUUCCCCAAGAAAAUAAAAUGGGUGGAGCAAUAGAAUUAGGGAAAAAUGAAUUCUCCCCCAUAUCCAAUGAAAAGCUACCAAGUAUGUAUGAAAUCGUACCGUCGUUAUCGAAAUUUGAGGAAUUUAUCCGUUAAGGGAAAACCUAAGCGUCUUCUAGAGAAUUAUUAAACUGAUUUUGCAUCAAAAAUCGUGCUAAUCACAUGAGGAUUGAACUCUAGUAAAGGUGAGGGCGUUUGGACGAGAACAAGCUGGUUUGAAUUUGGGUUCGGGUCACCGUUAAAAUGAUUUGAUUUGGGGACUGGAUCGUUCGUAGGUUUUUGGUGUUUGAAUAUACGGUGUUCUUGUGGAGAAGAGGGUAUAAGGAGGAUAUUUGAUGUGGGCCAGGUCAG